This 777-nucleotide ribosomal RNA is filed under the name uncultured Neocallimastigales. Its description in RNAcentral is "partial large subunit ribosomal RNA". It matches the Rfam family "Eukaryotic large subunit ribosomal RNA", at positions 23 to 643 of the family's 3401-position model. The record is from RNAcentral. Lineage: Eukaryota; Fungi; Neocallimastigomycota; Neocallimastigomycetes; Neocallimastigales.
AGAGAUGUGUGAUGACGCAUAUCAAUAAGCGGAGGAAAAGAAACUAACAAGGAUUCCCUUAGUAACGGCGAGUGGAGCGGGAAGAGCUCAAAUUUGAAAUCUUCAAGGUUCUACCUUGACGAAUUGUAGUUUAUAGAAGUGUUUUCUGUUAGUGGAGUGGCAAAAGUUCUUUGGAAUAGGACAUCAUAGAGGGUGAGAAUCCCGUAUUUGGUCAUUCCUCCUAGCGUUGUGAUACACUUUCAACGAGUCGGAUUGUUUGGGAAUGCAGUCCAAAAUGGGUGGUAAACUUCAUCUAAAGCUAAAUAUUGGCGAGAGACCGAUAGCGAACAAGUACCGUGAGGGAAAGAUGAAAAGAACUUUGAAAAGAGAGUUAAACAGUACGUGAAAUUGUCAAAAGGGAAGCGUUUGACACCAGUGUUGUUUUUUCCGAAAAUCAAUUACGAAUGUUUUGUUUUUGAGGAGUUAUGACUUCAUCGGCUUGCUCCUUUCUUUACGAAACUUUCUUAAUGCACUUUUCGGUUAACAAGUCAACAUCAAUUUCUUUUGUUGUAAAAGGGUAUGAGGAAGGUGGCUUUCUUUUCGGAGAAAGUGUUUAUAGCCUUGUGCCUCUGCAAUCGGAGAGAUUGAGGUCUGCAGCGUAGAUCCUUCGGGGUUAGAUACAUUUGUGCUAAGUUAUAGCUUUUCAUAGACAACUUGUUGACUUAUGUUAAGUCAUUGUAGCUUACUCGCUUAUGCUAUUUUACCUACGCUUAGGAUGUUGAAGAUGUAGCACAUCAU